UAUAGGGAUUCGCAGAGGCAUUUUUGGAACAUCUUUGGAAAAAAUUGCAGGAUCCAAGUAAUCCCGCCAUCAUCAGGCAGGCUGCUGGAAAUUAUAUUGGAAGCUUUUUGGCAAGAGCUAAAUUUAUUCCUCUUACUACUGUAAAAUCAUGCCCAGAUCUUUUGGUUAACUGGCUGCACAUAUACCUUAAUAACCAGGAUUCGGGAACAAAGGCAUUCUGCGAUGUUGCUCUCCAUGGACCAUUUUACUCAGCCUGCCAAGCUGUGUUCUACACCUUUGUUUUUAGACACAAGCAGCUUUUGAGCGGAAACCUGAAAGAAGUAAGUACCAGCUCGUCUUCUGCUACACCAUCAUCGAGAGGAACAAUUGCCAGAUGCUGCCAGUCAUUAGGAGUACCACUGGAGGAGACUCAGUGCAGACCUGCACAAACCCACUGGACACCUUCUUCCCCUUUGAUCCCUGUGUGCUGAAGAGGUAGGUACUUUUAAACAUUGACGCUGGAGGAGGUGGAUUUUUUUUUCUUUUUGAGACGGAGUCUCGCUCUGUUGCCCAGGCUGGAGUGCGGUGGUGUGAUCUCGGCUCACCUCAAGCCAGCUCGCCCAGCCUGGCAUGAGCUGGCUCAUGUUUAUAAUCCCAGCACUUUGGGAAGCCAAGGUGGGUGGAUCACCUGAGGUCAGAAGUUCAAGACCAGCCUGGCCAACAUGGUGAAAUCCCGUCUCUACUAAAAAUACAAAAAUUAGCCGGGUUGGUGGCGCACACCUGUGGUUCCAGUUCUUCGGGGGACUGAGGCAGGAGAAUCGCUUGAACUUGGGAGGUGGAGUUUGCAGUGAGCAGAGAUUGAGCCACUGCACUCCAGCUUGGGUGACAGAGCGAGACUCCAUCAUGGAAAACAAACAAACAAACAAAAAAAAGCACUGCCAUCUAUGAAUAGCAGCAUGGCACAAAACAGAAGCCACUAGAGAGAGUAUUGCGGGACCCUUGUUUUAUGUAGCAAGAAAUGGAGGCUCAGAGAAGGGGCGACUGCCAAGGGUGAGUGACCCAGUGCAGGGAGCCGGCUUCCAUUCCGACUGCAGAUUCUAGCCCUUCACCAAGUCACUUCUCCUCACCAAGGGCUUCACUUGAACCAC
RNAcentral lists this long non-coding RNA (1127 nucleotides) under Pan troglodytes (chimpanzee). RNAcentral describes it as "long non-coding RNA NONPTRT006247". Lineage: Eukaryota; Metazoa; Chordata; Mammalia; Primates; Hominidae. The record is from RNAcentral.